Molecule: ribosomal RNA, 681 nt
Filed under: Streptococcus agalactiae
Lineage: Bacteria; Bacillati; Bacillota; Bacilli; Lactobacillales; Streptococcaceae
Description: bacterial SSU rRNA
Rfam family: Bacterial small subunit ribosomal RNA
Source: RNAcentral
UUAAUGAGAGUUUGAUCCUGGCUCAGGACGAACGCUGGCGGCGUGCCUAAUACAUGCAAGUAGAACGCUGAGGUUUGGUGUUUACACUAGACUGAUGAGUUGCGAACGGGUGAGUAACGCGUAGGUAACCUGCCUCAUAGCGGGGGAUAACUAUUGGAAACGAUAGCUAAUACCGCAUAAGAGUAAUUAACACAUGUUAGUUAUUUAAAAGGAGCAAUUGCUUCACUGUGAGAUGGACCUGCGUUGUAUUAGCUAGUUGGUGAGGUAAAGGCUCACCAAGCCGACGAUACAUAGCCGACCUGAGAGGGUGAUCGGCCACACUGGGACUGAGACACGGCCCAGACUCCUACGGGAGGCAGCAGUAGGGAAUCUUCGGCAAUGGACGGAAGUCUGACCGAGCAACGCCGCGUGAGUGAAGAAGGUUUUCGGAUCGUAAAGCUCUGUUGUUAGAGAAGAACGUUGGUAGGAGUGGAAAAUCUACCAAGUGACGGUAACUAACCAGAAAGGGACGGCUAACUACGUGCCAGCAGCCGCGGUAAUACGUAGGUCCCGAGCGUUGUCCGGAUUUAUUGGGCGUAAAGCGAGCGCAGGCGGUUCUUUAAGUCUGAAGUUAAAGGCAGUGGCUUAACCAUUGUACGCUUUGGAAACUGGAGGACUUGAGUGCAGAAGGGGAGAGUGGAA